RNAcentral lists this ribosomal RNA (253 nucleotides) under uncultured bacterium. Its description in RNAcentral is "partial 16S ribosomal RNA". It matches the Rfam family "Bacterial small subunit ribosomal RNA", at positions 524 to 776 of the family's 1533-position model. The record is from RNAcentral.
UACAGAGGGGGCAAGCGUUGUUCGGAAUUACUGGGCGUAAAGGGCGCGUAGGCGGUCCGCUAAGUUCGGCGUGAAAUCCCCUGGCUCAACUGGGGAACUGCGCUGGAUACUGGUGGACUCGAGUACCGGAGAGGAGAGUGGAAUUCCUGGUGUAGCGGUGAAAUGCGUAGAUAUCAGGAGGAACACCAGUGGCGAAGGCGGCUCUCUGGACGGAUACUGACGCUGAGGCGCGAAAGCGUGGGGAUCAAACAGG